GGUGCCAUUUGGGUUGCACAAUAUUACACAGCUGGGGGAAAUGUGGUGUCAAUGGAUGAUGAGUAAAGAUUAUACUCAGCUUAUACUCAGAACACCAUGAAAUUCAGAGUUCCCUUUGAUAAGUAACUCAGCAUUUGCUGAGAUAAUGAAUACAAUAAUACAUGAAUGUAUGAAUGAAUGAAUGGGCCAACAAGUGUUGCUGGGAAAUGUUCAUGAAGGAUUACGAGUCAAAAAAAUUGAAUUAAUAUCAAUGAUGUGUAGUAUCACUGAGCUUCUCUAAAGCCUUGAUUUCUCAUCCAUCAAAAGGCAAUGAUACCACCUAAGUGCAAGACUGUAAUAAGAUAGUAUACACAACAUGCCUUUUUGAAAGGUGUCUUUUAACGCUGGCUGUUGUUGCUGUUUUAAAUUAAUUUACCAAGAAAGGCUCCAUGAUGUGUGGCUCUGGUGUGGAACAGUGACAGAAGCCUGGAAUGGAAUCAACCCAGACACUUUUCUUGUGCCUAAAGUGUGGUAAUGGGAGUUCCCACAGAGGCUCAGUGGUUAACAAACCUGACUAGUAUCCAUGAGGACUCAGGUUCGAUCCCUGGCCUUGCUCAGUGGGUUAAGGAUCCAGUGCUGCUGUGAGCUGUGGUUUAUGUGGCAGGCUUGGCUCGGAUUCCGUGGUGCCAUGGCUGUGGUAUAGGCUGGUGGCAGCUACAGCUCUGAAUGGAUCCCUAGCCUGGGAACCUCCAUAUGUAUGCCACCAGUUGCGGCUCUAGAAAGACAAAAGACAAAAUAAUGAUAAUAAUAAUAAUAAUUUAAAAAUAAAAUAUGGUAGUGGAAGGUUUUCAGAGAGAAGAGGAAGGCAUAUAGUGGGAAAGGGGAUCCCUAUUCUAGAAUCUUCUGGACACACCCUUGUUCUGUGUUUAUUUUUAUCAACACUCACAUGUUUCUUGACACUUCAGCAACACAGGGCCUGAAUGUUUUUUUUCAUUCACUAUUAUAUCACCAGUGGCUGGCACAUGAGGCAUCUAAUAAAUAUUUGUCAAAUGAGUGAAAAGCAUUAAUCCUGAAAUAAGCCUUUUUUUUUACCCAAAUCUCAGCUGAAUUUUCAGAGCAAAGCAUAAAAUGAACCAGAAUUUCCCCAUGCCUUUCUCCAAAGUGAAAAAAAAAAA
This 1154-nucleotide long non-coding RNA is filed under the name Sus scrofa (pig). RNAcentral describes it as "lncRNA (ENSSSCG00035008024.1)". The record is from RNAcentral. Lineage: Eukaryota; Metazoa; Chordata; Mammalia; Artiodactyla; Suidae.